This 500-nucleotide ribosomal RNA is filed under the name uncultured bacterium. RNAcentral describes it as "bacterial SSU rRNA". It matches the Rfam family "Bacterial small subunit ribosomal RNA", at positions 8 to 502 of the family's 1533-position model. The record is from RNAcentral.
AGAGUUUGAUCCUGGCUCAGGAUGAACGCUAGCGGCAGGCUUAACACAUGCAAGUCGAGGGGUAACAGAGGUAGCUUGCUACUUGCUGACGACCGGCGCACGGGUGAGUAACGCGUAUGCAACCUACCUUUUACUGGGGGAUAGGCAGAAGAAAUUCUGAUUAAUACCCCAUAAUAUUGAGAUUCGGCAUUGAAUUUUGAUUAAAGUUUCGGCGGUAAAAGAUGGGCAUGCGUUUUAUUAGUUAGUUGGUAAGGUAACGGCUUACCAAGACUACGAUAAAUAGGGGUCCUGAGAGGGAGAUCCCCCACACUGGUACUGAGACACGGACCAGACUCCUACGGGAGGCAGCAGUGAGGAAUAUUGGACAAUGGGCGAGAGCCUGAUCCAGCCAUGCCGCGUGCAGGAAGACGGCCCUAUGGGUUGUAAACUGCUUUUAUACAGGAAGAAACCUUCUCACGUGUGAGAAGCUGACGGUACUGUAAGAAUAAGCACCGCUAACU